RNAcentral lists this ribosomal RNA (253 nucleotides) under uncultured bacterium. Its description in RNAcentral is "partial 16S ribosomal RNA". It matches the Rfam family "Bacterial small subunit ribosomal RNA", at positions 524 to 776 of the family's 1533-position model. The record is from RNAcentral.
UACGUAGGCAGCAAGCGUUGUUCGGAGUUACUGGGCGUAAAGGGUGCGUAGGCUGUUUCGUAAGUAUGGUGUGAAAUCUCCCGGCUUAACUGGGAGGGUGCGCUAUAAACUGCGCGACUAGAGUGUGGGAGAGGAAAGUGGAAUUCCUGGUGUAGCGGUGAAAUGCGUAGAUAUCAGGAGGAACACCGGUGGUGUAAACGGCUUUCUGGACCAUAACUGACGCUGAGGCACGAAAGCGUGGGUAGCAAACAGG